Molecule: ribosomal RNA, 514 nt
Filed under: uncultured bacterium
Lineage: Bacteria
Description: partial 16S ribosomal RNA
Source: RNAcentral
GGAGUUAGCCGGUGCUUCUUCUGCGAGUAACGUCACAGAUGUAAGGUAUUAACUUACACCCUUUCCUCCUCGCUGAAAGUGCUUUACAACCCGAAGGCCUUCUUCACACACGCGGCAUGGCUGCAUCAGGGUUUCCCCCAUUGUGCAAUAUUCCCCACUGCUGCCUCCCGUAGGAGUCUGGGCCGUGUCUCAGUCCCAGUGUGGCUGAUCAUCCUCUCAGACCAGCUAGGGAUCGUCGCCUAGGUGAGCCUUUACCUCACCUACUAGCUAAUCCCACCUGGGCUUAUCCAUCAGCGCAAGGCCCGAAGGUCCCCCUGCUUUCCCCCGUAGGGCGUAUGCGGUAUUAGCAGUCGUUUCCAACUGUUAUCCCCCACAAAUGGGCAAAUUCCCAGGCAUUACUCACCCGUCCGCCGCUCGUCAUCUUCAAAAGCAAAGCUUUUGAAAUGUUACCGCUCGACUUGCAUGUGUUAGGCCUGCCGCCAGCGUUCAAUCUGAGCCAGGAUCAAAACUCUGA